This 253-nucleotide ribosomal RNA is filed under the name uncultured bacterium. RNAcentral describes it as "partial 16S ribosomal RNA". It matches the Rfam family "Bacterial small subunit ribosomal RNA", at positions 524 to 776 of the family's 1533-position model. The record is from RNAcentral.
UACAGAGGGUGCGAGCGUUAAUCGGAAUUACUGGGCGUAAAGCGUGCGUAGACGGUAGCGUAAGUCAGAUGUGAAAGCCCCGGGCUCAACCUGGGAAUUGCAUUUGAGACUGCUCUGCUCGGGUGCGGAAGAGGGAAGCGGAAUUUCCGGUGUAGCGGUGAAAUUCGUAGAUAUUGGGAAGAACACCGGUGGCGAAGGCGGCGACCUGGUCCGAGACUGACGCUGAGGCGCGAAAGCGUGGGGAGCAAACAGG